AAUCAGGUAGGACUACCCGCUGAACUUAAGCAUAUCAAA
RNAcentral lists this ribosomal RNA (39 nucleotides) under Rhizoctonia solani. RNAcentral's name for it is "partial 28S ribosomal RNA". Lineage: Eukaryota; Fungi; Basidiomycota; Agaricomycetes; Cantharellales; Ceratobasidiaceae. The record is from RNAcentral.